RNAcentral lists this ribosomal RNA (274 nucleotides) under uncultured bacterium. RNAcentral's name for it is "partial 16S ribosomal RNA". It matches the Rfam family "Bacterial small subunit ribosomal RNA", at positions 523 to 796 of the family's 1533-position model. The record is from RNAcentral.
AUACGGAGGGUGCAAGCGUUAAUCGGAAUUACUGGGCGUAAAGCGCACGCAGGCGGUUUGCUAAGUCAGAUGUGAAAGCCCCGGGCUUAACCUGGGAACUGCAUUUGAUACUGGCAGACUAGAGUAUGGUAGAGAGAAGUGGAAUUCCACAUGUAGCGGUGAAAUGCGUAGAGAUGUGGAGGAACAUCAGUGGCGAAGGCGACUUCUUGGACCAAUACUGACGCUCAGGUGCGAAAGCGUGGGGAGCAAACAGGAUUAGAAACCCCGGUAGUCC